Molecule: ribosomal RNA, 368 nt
Filed under: Cryptocercus wolongensis
Lineage: Eukaryota; Metazoa; Arthropoda; Insecta; Blattodea; Cryptocercidae
Description: partial 16S large subunit ribosomal RNA
Rfam family: Archaeal large subunit ribosomal RNA (bases 1-185)
Source: RNAcentral
CUCUUCUUGAAUAUAAUUUGAUGUAUGGCCUGCCCACUGAAUAUUGAAGGGCCGCGGUAUUUUGACCGUGCAAAGGUAGCAUAAUCAUUAGUCUUUUAAUUGUGGACUGGAAUGAAUGGUUUGACGAGGUGUUAACUGUCUUUAAUUUUUUUCAUUGAAUUUAAAUUUUAGGUUAAAAUGCCUAAAUGUUUUUUUGGGACGAGAAGACCCUAUAGAGUUUUAUAUAUUUUUGCUUUUUUGUAUGAUAAAUUUUAAUGUAAAAAUUUAUUUUGUUGGGGUGAUGAGAAGAUUAAAUUAACUCUUUUUGUUUUUUUAUAUUUAUUUAUAUAUAUUUGAUCCAUUUUUAUUGAUUAUAAGACUAAAUUACC